This is a non-coding RNA of Pimephales promelas (fathead minnow), 1545 nucleotides long. NCBI's taxonomy places the organism in Eukaryota, Metazoa, Chordata, Actinopteri, Cypriniformes, Leuciscidae. The record is from RefSeq and is a predicted model, not a curated record.
GUCGCUCAGGGGAACAUUGAUGCCAGUCAGCAGCGUCAGGCUGAGUUGUACAACCGGAAGACGAAGGGCUGUAACAUUGAGUUGGGUGAUCAAGUUCUCCUGGCCAACAAAGGUGAACGUGGGAAAAGAAAAUUAGCAGACAGGUGGGAGUCCACACCCUAUAGGGUAGUAGCGCUGAACCCCCAGUGCCACAUUUAUCGCAUUCGUAACACCAAAACGGGCCAGGAGAAAACUGUUCAUCGUAAUUUGCUGUUGCAAGCCAACUUCUUGCCGCUCGAGUUGGGAGGUCCUGAAUCACCUGGGGAUAGUGGUGAAUCUGUCCUUGGAAGCAGGAGUGCAUCCUUGGAUAAUGUUAGUUCUGCAGCUGAGAUGUGUUCUGUCCCUGACCGAGUUGCCAGUUGGGUGGAAAGAACCACAAUUUCUGAAGAUCCUCAGCAGAGAUUGUCCUACAGAUCUGAUAGUGCUGGUUCAUUGGAUGUAGUCCCCGAGUCAUUGGUUCAGGAGCAAUUGUCGUCAAAAGAUGAUUAUACCAAAGGAAACAGCAAUGUAGUCAUUCCAGAUGAAGGACUGAGUAGUGAUUCUUGCAGUUCGCUUUCUGAGGCAGUUCUCCAUGAUGACCGUUGCGUUUCACCUGCUAGAGUUGUUGAGCCACUUCCUAGUCAAGGAGAAGCGAUAGUUCGAACCAGAGUGGGUAGGAUGGUGAGACCUGUCAACAGGUUGAUAGAGAAUAUGGCUCAAUCUAUCAGAACACUGAAUCCAGUUGGUGGGGUUGUAAGAUCUUUAUUGAAAUAAGAAUGUAUUGUAUUAAACCAUUACAUUGUAAUACAAUAUUGUUUUCUUUAAGUUUUAAGGUUAAGUCUCUGUGAGUCAGUGCAUUUCAGCACAUUUGUUGUUCCAGAUCCAAGAUUAAGUUGAGAUGAAUGGUGUUUAAGGCACCUUUUGCGGGUGAUUGCAGUGGGCCUGAUCAACCUUAUGUACACACCUUCCCUGCGAGUGGGAAACAUUUUGUUGCACCAUGUUCUGGAAAACAGUUGGUCUAAAUAGCUCCAGUGUAUACAAUCCCUGUAUAAGACAAAAUUUGUGAAGUUCAGGGUGGAGAAUGUAACUGGUGAAAAUUAACCUUUGACUUGUUUUUUAUUGUAUUAUUUUUUUUCUGUAUUUUACUGUUUAAGUUUUCCUAUUUUUGUAUUUAGAAUGGCUUAAUGAACCUCACAAAAUUUUGUUCACAUUAUUGUUCAUGAGUAAGAGAACAUAACGUUAAAAUAGCGGAACUUUUCCCUGAGUGUUUGUUUGGGGAGGGAGCGUCAUCGGUGGAACACUUCCGGGGUUUCUCCUCGUGCGGUCUGUAAUAGCCUCAGUCUACCUGAGUGAGAGGCUCGUGAGCGCACGCAAUGUUGCUUCUCUCCAUGAAUGUUACUGAGUGUUACACGAGAGAGAGAGAAGCUGAAGCCCCGUUGAUCCACUGAUGAUCUCUCUGUUUACAGGUGUGUUGUUUAAUUAGUUCUGUUUUGUGAAAGGAAAGAGAUCUGGUUGACUGUUAAUAAA